Molecule: ribosomal RNA, 1355 nt
Filed under: uncultured bacterium
Lineage: Bacteria
Description: bacterial SSU rRNA
Rfam family: Bacterial small subunit ribosomal RNA
Source: RNAcentral
AUUGAACGCUGGCGGCAGGCUUAACACAUGCAAGUCGAACGAUGAUUUCCCAGCUUGCUGGGAAUGAUUGGUGGCGGACGGGUGAGUAACAUUUAGGAAUCUGCCUAGUAGUGGGGGAUAGCUCGGGGAAACUCGAAUUAAUACCGCAUACGACCUACGGGUGAAAGGGGGCGCAAGCUCUUGCUAUUAGAUGAGCCUAAAUCAGAUUAGCUAGUUGGUGGGGUAAAGGCCCACCAAGGCGACGAUCUGUAACUGGUCUGAGAGGAUGAUCAGUCACACCGGAACUGAGACACGGUCCGGACUCCUACGGGAGGCAGCAGUGGGGAAUAUUGGACAAUGGGGGCAACCCUGAUCCAGCCAUGCCGCGUGUGUGAAGAAGGCCUUUUGGUUGUAAAGCACUUUAAGCAGGGAGGAGAGGCUAAUGGUUAAUACCCAUUAGAUUAGACGUUACCUGCAGAAUAAGCACCGGCUAACUCUGUGCCAGCAGCCGCGGUAAUACAGAGGGUGCGAGCGUUAAUCGGAAUUACUGGGCGUAAAGCGAGUGUAGGUGGCUCAUUAAGUCACAUGUGAAAUCCCCGGGCUUAACCUGGGAACUGCAUGUGAUACUGGUGGUGCUAGAAUAUGUGAGAGGGAAGUAGAAUUCCAGGUGUAGCGGUGAAAUGCGUAGAGAUCUGGAGGAAUACCGAUGGCGAAGGCAGCUUCCUGGCAUAAUAUUGACACUGAGAUUCGAAAGCGUGGGUAGCAAACAGGAUUAGAUACCCUGGUAGUCCACGCCGUAAACGAUGUCUACUAGCCGUUGGGGUCCUUGAGACUUUAGUGGCGCAGUUAACGCGAUAAGUAGACCGCCUGGGGAGUACGGCCGCAAGGUUAAAACUCAAAUGAAUUGACGGGGGCCCGCACAAGCGGUGGAGCAUGUGGUUUAAUUCGAUGCAACGCGAAGAACCUUACCUGGUCUUGACAUAGUGAGAAUCCUGCAGAGAUGCGGGAGUGCCUUCGGGAAUUCACAUACAGGUGCUGCAUGGCUGUCGUCAGCUCGUGUCGUGAGAUGUUGGGUUAAGUCCCGCAACGAGCGCAACCCUUUUCCUUAUUUGCCAGCGGGUUAAGCCGGGAACUUUAAGGAUACUGCCAGUGACAAACUGGAGGAAGGCGGGGACGACGUCAAGUCAUCAUGGCCCUUACGACCAGGGCUACACACGUGCUACAAUGGUAGGUACAGAGGGUUGCUACACAGCGAUGUGAUGCUAAUCUCAAAAAGCCUAUCGUAGUCCGGAUUGGAGUCUGCAACUCGACUCCAUGAAGUCGGAAUCGCUAGUAAUCGCAGAUCGGAAUGCUGCGGUGAAUACGUUCCCGGGCCU